Long non-coding RNA from Cucumis melo (muskmelon), 1491 nucleotides. RefSeq lists it as uncharacterized. The transcript is spliced from 6 exons. Lineage: Eukaryota; Viridiplantae; Streptophyta; Magnoliopsida; Cucurbitales; Cucurbitaceae. The record is from RefSeq and is a predicted model, not a curated record.
AUUAUUAAAAAAAAAAACAUGUCUUUCCUUCUUCUGCAAAAUCGUCAAACUUCAAGGUCGAAAAAUCCCUAACUUUCCUCUUAAUUCCCUUCGAAAAUCAACAUCAUCGCCCGCUUCCCUUCUUCCACGCGUCUUCUCGUUCGCAAAAUCGAAGCACCCAAAAAAUCGUUCUUCCCGCUUGAAAACCCAAUAUCAUCUGUCGUUCGAAAAGUAGUCGUCCCUUGCAUUUUCGCUGUCCGUUGUCCACUGUACGAGUCUAAACCACCGUUCGAAAAGAAGAAGACAGAAAUCUUCAAGUGUCUUCACCGAAAAUCUCAGUUCUUUAGCCGAGUAGAACAAUGUAUUUGUGAUGCCAAACAAGAAGUCAAAGUAUCUAGAUCUUCAAGUAGAUUUGAGAUUAUAUUUUAUCUUUCUCAUAUUGAAUUUGCUGCACUCAAAAUUUUAUGGGGUAUGUAUUUGUGUCGCACACUUAGCUACCGAGGAGCUGAAUUUGACAUUGUGGAAGCACCGUUGGAAGCUGAGAUGAUGGUAUAGUGUAUUGGUUCCCCUAAUUUUGGAAAUGUAUGCAUUAGCUGCUGAAUUUUGAGCAAAGUUGUGAUUAGAAUUGAUGACAGCAAGUGCUUAUGUUACUAGUGACAAGCCUAACACCAAUCAACUUUGGCGAUUAUUUUGGGCAAGUCAUCAUGUAUAUUUAUUUGGGAUUUUUCUUAAAAGUUAAGUUUCUCUUUAAGUUGGACUUUUAAAUAUUUAUUUAUUUUAAUUUAAUUGAAGUGUGUUACAAAGGUUUAUAUGUUCUAUACCAUUUCUCUUACUUCAAAACUUCGUCCUUUUGUAGCGUUUCUUCAAGCAUAUGUGUAUGUCUGCAAAGGUUCCUGCUAGUGUUAGACUAGCUAGCUAAGCAAUCAUUAUUGGAAGAUAAAUGUGUAUUAUUGAGAUUGAAAAUCCUAACUUGAUCAAGCCAAAAACCUUGAAGCUAGAGAUAUUGAUAUCGAAAAAACAACUAAACUUUCAAGGCGUGAAUGGUUGUUAUAAGGAUGCUUUUCUUGCAGUUUAGGAACUUGUAUUUAUUCUUUUUACCAAGGAAGAGAUAGAGAAACAAAAGGCUCACGAGCAAUUCAUGAGGCUCCAAGAAUAAGGAAAAUCUGAACAAGCUAGGAAAGAUUUAGGUUGAUACACAAAGAUCAUACUCACAGACCGAGUUAGACGAGAUGCAGGUUGAGUUAGCUGACUUUCUGGGUUUGUACAUAUGAUUGCGACUUAUUUGUGAUUCUAAAGUAGGAAAAUUAUUUUUUGUGGUUGUCAUUCUAAAAUUUUAUGUAUAUAGAUAAUAUAGAUGAAUUUUUUGAAUUGUUCAUAUGGAGGUGGGUGGAGUUUAUGGGUACAAUUAAAAACACUACCAUAUUGUUUAUUGGUGGGUUAUGUUAGUUCAUUAGAGAAUGUUGAGUUGAAUUCUUGGCAAUCUGAUGGAAUUAUUUAUUUUGGGUUUAUAAA